UAAAAAUCCUUAGUAAUUAAAGUACUUAGCACAGUAUACCAAGGCCAAGUUUUCAGAUCUGCUGAAAUCCCAAGAACUGAAAUAUCUUCUUGUUCAUCCUGCACAGUAUUGUUGUUAAUUUCAGAUUACCUUGGUGAGAUAUGUGACACCUCAAUUUUUGAAGCUUAUGAUCAACUUCUACUCCUGGUGCUGAAGUUUGCAUGUACACAGAGAAUGAAGUGCCUGCUUCUCCCUCCAGAGGCACAGAGCAGGUUGCACCUGGCUCUCAGUCAACAUUCCAGUGGAAUUGUCACCUUGGAUUGUGUUCCCAUGCACUUAUUACAGGGCAUUAAGGAAGGAGUGUCUGCAGUCUUCUAGAGCAAGCAAGCGGAAAGAGAAGCACAAG
Gallus gallus (chicken) is the source of this 385-nucleotide long non-coding RNA. RefSeq lists it as uncharacterized. Lineage: Eukaryota; Metazoa; Chordata; Aves; Galliformes; Phasianidae. The record is from RefSeq and is a predicted model, not a curated record. The transcript is spliced from 2 exons.